Molecule: long non-coding RNA, 902 nt
Filed under: Vulpes vulpes (red fox)
Lineage: Eukaryota; Metazoa; Chordata; Mammalia; Carnivora; Canidae
Description: lncRNA (ENSVVUG00000019621.1)
Source: RNAcentral
CCCCCUGCUGGUGGUCUCUCUCUCUGUCUCUCAAAUACAUCAAUUUAAGAAAAAAUAGAGUACCGUGCAGUUUCUAAAUUAGGCUGUACCAUGCAUAUGUAUAUAUUUGGUUUGAAAAAUUCACUUCAGAAGUAGGACAAGGGGGAAUUCAACAACCACAGCAAGCAGUGUAUCAAAGGUGAAGAUAGAGACAAGACUAGGGUCCAGAUAGUAACCUCAUGUGAACUUUCUUACUCCCCAGGAAUAUAAGAUAAUGUGUUAUUUUUAUACGGCUCUGGUUGGGAUAACCACUGCUGUCUAUCUGUGGUUCUAUGUAAUACUGCGUUUUCCCAGACCCUACCCAUAAUGUCACUUUAUACUUCUUUAUAAAAAAGAAACCAUGUUUCCAAGGGCUAACUAUAAAGAUAAACAUUAGAGAGGUAGACUAGCCCUGGGGACAGAAACCAGAAAGAGGAAACUCUGAGGAAUUUUGGUCACAAUGUGAGGUCCUGCCACAAAACAACACAGAACUGCAAGCAGCACAGAGAACUGUAAAUCUUUGCAGAAGGCAGAGUGGAGGAUUCAGUUUGGGUAUGGAAGGUAUGGGAGGCAAACCAAGGAAUCUGCAAGAGGAGCAACCCUGAGGACACGUGCCAGAUCUGGCUCCUGGGCCAAACACAGUUCCAAAGCUGCUUACACAGAGUUGAGAUGACACAGAGUUUAUGUGAGACAUACUUGACCACAUCAUCAAUGGGCCAAGGGUUUCCAUGAAUAUGUAAGCACUGACAGACUUGUAAGAUUCCAAGAGGACAUAGGACGCUAUCAGAUGCAUUUUUUUUUUGUUUUUUUUUUUUAUCAUUUUUUUUUAUCAGAUGCAUUUUUAAAAUAAUUCCCACCUGUAGGCUCCACCCCUCCUACAAAGU